GUGGCAACAAAUAAUAGUCAGGAUCAUUAAUCUCCUUGGAAAGCGGGAUAGCAACUGUUUUCAGGUUUAUUGAAUUUUACCCUCGACAUUCAGGGUUUUGCAUACCAGGUAAAGCAGCAGACUCUCUCUGCGUUUAUCCUCCAUUAACUUAUUUCCAUUGAUUUUUCAAGCGGACUUCCUUCUAGACGAGACUGGUAAUGACAAAGAGAUCAAGCAAUCAGAUGACAGUCAAAGAGAUUUCUAUUUCAUUAUGAACGCUACUUUAAUGUGACGGUUUCAGUGCUUUUUACAGUGGCGGUUUUAGUUGCAGUCCUACAGGACCCAACACAGAAAGGGCUACAAUUUCGACAUUCUUUUGGUGCUGUUAGGGUUGUGGUGGUGAGGCUCAGAGCAGGAACUCUGAAAGGGCUUUGCUGGCACAGGUUACCUUAGCUUAUGAAGGAGUUGGGCAAAAUACCUUAUCUUAUGAAGAUAAUUAGUCGGUUGUUGAAAUGAAUUCCAGUGUUGUGGGGUUAAGAAAACUGUUGUAUCUUGCACGUUUAUUCACUCGAUGGAUAAUUUUUUUCCAGGAUGCUAUCAUAAACUAUAUGGUCUAUUAUUUUAAUUCAAACCCUUACCUUUAUUUAUAAG
Long non-coding RNA from Cryptomeria japonica (Japanese cedar), 630 nucleotides. RefSeq lists it as uncharacterized. The record is from RefSeq and is a predicted model, not a curated record. NCBI's taxonomy places the organism in Eukaryota, Viridiplantae, Streptophyta, Pinopsida, Cupressales, Cupressaceae. The transcript is spliced from 3 exons.